This 253-nucleotide ribosomal RNA is filed under the name uncultured bacterium. RNAcentral's name for it is "partial 16S ribosomal RNA". It matches the Rfam family "Bacterial small subunit ribosomal RNA", at positions 524 to 776 of the family's 1533-position model. The record is from RNAcentral.
UACGUAGGGGGCAAGCGUUGUCCGGAAUUAUUGGGCGUAAAGCGCGCGCAGGUGGUUCUUUAAGUCUGAUGUGAAAUCUCGCGGCUCAACCGCGAGCGGUCAUUGGAAACUGGGGAACUUGAGUGCAGAAGAGGAAAGUGGAAUUCCACGUGUAGCGGUGAAAUGCGUAGAGAUGUGGAGGAACACCAGUGGCGAAGGCGACUUUCUGGUCUGUAACUGACACUGAGGCGCGAAAGCGUGGGGAGCGAACAGG